Molecule: long non-coding RNA, 269 nt
Filed under: Elaeis guineensis (African oil palm)
Lineage: Eukaryota; Viridiplantae; Streptophyta; Magnoliopsida; Arecales; Arecaceae
Description: long non-coding RNA (EGUI_LNC048223)
Source: RNAcentral
UUCAUGUUUCAAAGCUACUUUUGAUAUUCCAAUGUAUCUCCUUUUCUUUUGAGAUAUUUUUAAUGAGGCAUUUGAAGGAAUAUGGGGUUGUCUUGUACUCAUCGAUGUAUGAAUAAAAGAAUAGAAUUCUAUAUUAAAAAUAUUUUCAGCAUACAAACUUCUCUAGCAAGUGCUGUAGCAUUACAUACUUAGCUUAUUUCCAAGCAUUUCUUCUUUCUUUAGCCCACUACAUUUCUGCAACCCAACAAAUUUGGUAUCAGAGCCAUACC